ACACUGACGUCGCGACGCAUAUCAAUAAGCGGAGGAAAAGAAACUAACAAGGAUUCCCUUAGUAACGGCGAGUGAAGCGGGAAGAGCUCAAAUUUGAAAUCUUCAAGGUUCUACCUUGACGAAUUGUAGUUUAAAGAAGUGUUUUCUGUUAGUGGAGUGGCAAAAGUUCUUUGGAAUAGGACAUCAUAGAGGGUGAGAAUCCCGUAUUUGGUCAUUCCUUCUAGCUUUGUGAUACACUUUCAAAGAGUUGGAUUGUUGGGGAAUGCAGUCCAAAAUGGGUGGUAAAUUUCAUCUAAAGCUAAAUAUUGGCGAGAGACCGAUAGCGAACAAGUACCGUGAGGGAAAGAUGAAAAGAACUUUGAAAAGAGAGUUAAACAGUACGUGAAAUUGUCAAAAGGGAAGCGUUUGACACCAGUGUUGUUUUUCCGAAAAUCAAUUAUAAAUGUUUUGUUUCUGAGGAGUGAUGACUUCAUCGGCUUCCUUCUCUCUUCACGAAACUUUUGUAAUGCACUUUUCGGUUAACAAGUCAACAUCAAUUUCUUUUGUUGUAAAAGAGUAUUCGGAAGGUGGCUUUCUUUUCGGAGAAAGUGUUUAUAGCCCUAUACUUCUACAAUCGGAGAGAUUGAGGUCUGCAGCGUAGAUCCUUCGGGGUUAGAUACACUUGUGCUAAGUUAUAGCUUUUCAUAGACAACUUGUUGACUAUGUCUAGUCUUGUAGCUUACUCGCUUGUGCUAUUUUACCUACGCUUAGGAUGUUGAGUCGUAGAGCACGCAGA
This 775-nucleotide ribosomal RNA is filed under the name uncultured Neocallimastigales. RNAcentral's name for it is "partial large subunit ribosomal RNA". It matches the Rfam family "Eukaryotic large subunit ribosomal RNA", at positions 25 to 634 of the family's 3401-position model. Lineage: Eukaryota; Fungi; Neocallimastigomycota; Neocallimastigomycetes; Neocallimastigales. The record is from RNAcentral.